GAUGAACGCUGGCGGCGUGCCUAAUACAUGCAAGUCGAGCGAACGGACGAGAAGCUUGCUUUUCUGAUGUUAGCGGCGGACGGGUGAGUAACACGUGGAUAUCCUACCUAUAAGACUGGGAUAACUUCGGGAAACCGGAGCUAAUACCGGAUAAUAUUUUGAACCGCAUGGUUCAAAAGUGAAAGACGGUCUUGCUGUCACUUAUCGAUGGAUCCGCGCUGCAUUAGCUAGUUGGUAAGGUAACGGCUUACCAAGGCAACGAUGCAUAGCCGACCUGAGAGGGUGAUCGGCCACACUGGAACUGAGACACGGUCCAGACUCCUACGGGAGGCAGCAGUAGGGAAUCUUCCGCAAUGGGCGAAAGCCUGACGGAGCAACGCCGCGUGAGUGAUGAAGGUCUUCGGAUCGUAAAACUCUGUUAUUAGGGAAGAACAUAUGUGUAAGUAACUGUGCACAUCUUGACGGUACCUAAUCAGAAAGCCACGGCUAACUACGUG
RNAcentral lists this ribosomal RNA (497 nucleotides) under uncultured bacterium. RNAcentral describes it as "partial 16S ribosomal RNA". It matches the Rfam family "Bacterial small subunit ribosomal RNA", at positions 28 to 507 of the family's 1533-position model. The record is from RNAcentral.